RNAcentral lists this ribosomal RNA (316 nucleotides) under Clostridioides difficile. RNAcentral's name for it is "bacterial LSU rRNA". It matches the Rfam family "Bacterial large subunit ribosomal RNA", at positions 1 to 316 of the family's 2925-position model. The record is from RNAcentral. Lineage: Bacteria; Bacillati; Bacillota; Clostridia; Peptostreptococcales; Peptostreptococcaceae.
UGGUCAAGUUAUUAAGGGUGCAGGGCGGAUGCCUUGGCACUAGGAGCCGAUGAAGGACGUGAUAAGCUGCGAUAAGCUUCGGGGAGUUGCACGUAAACUUUGAUCCGAAGAUUUCCGAAUGAGGAAACUCACUUAGAGUAAUGUCUAAGUAUCAUUAAGUGAAUACAUAGCUUAAUGAGGGGAACUCAGGGAACUGAAACAUCUAAGUACCUGAAGGAAGAGAAAGAAAUUCGAUUCCGUAAGUAGCGGCGAGCGAACGCGGAUUAGCCCAAACCAAUAAAGUUUUCUUUAUUGGGGUUGCGGACAUAUCAUAACG